CGAGCCGGCCGGGCGGCCGCGUCGGAAUCCGUGGUUUCCAUGGAUUCCGCCGAGGAACGUCCGGGCUCCACAGGGCAGGGUGGUGGGUAACGCCCACCCGGGGUGACCCGCGGGAAAGUGCCACAGAAAGCAGACCGCCAGGGGCCGCGAGGCGCCUGGUAAGGGUGAAACGGUGGUGUAAGAGACCACCAGCGUCCGGGGUGACCCGGACGGCUCGGUAAACCCCACCCGGAGCAAGGUCAAGAUGAGGCCGCCGCACGGCGGCCUUGCGCGGACGCAUGAGGGCUGCCCGCCCGAGUCCGCGGGUAGACCGCAUGAGGCCGACGGCAACGCCGGCCCUAGAUGGAUGGCCGCCUCCCCUGGCGCCGCAAGGCCCCAGGGAGACAGAACCCGGCGUACAGGCCGACUCGUCCG
RNAcentral lists this RNase P RNA (414 nucleotides) under Streptomyces humicola. Its description in RNAcentral is "RNase P RNA component class A". It matches the Rfam family "Bacterial RNase P class A". From Rfam's summary of the family: Ribonuclease P (RNase P) is a ubiquitous endoribonuclease, found in archaea, bacteria and eukarya as well as chloroplasts and mitochondria. Its best characterised activity is the generation of mature 5'-ends of tRNAs by cleaving the 5'-leader elements of precursor-tRNAs. Lineage: Bacteria; Bacillati; Actinomycetota; Actinomycetes; Kitasatosporales; Streptomycetaceae. The record is from RNAcentral.